UGAGUUUGAUCCUGGCUCAGAAUGAACGCUGGCGGCGUGCUUAAUACAUGCAAGUCGAACGGAAUCCAAGGAGCUUGCUCCGAAAGAUUUAGUGGCGAACGGGUGAGUAACACGUGAGCAACCUGCCCCGAAGAUUGGGAUAACACCGGGAAACCGGUGCUAAUACCGAAUACCUUCCACUGAUCGCAUGAUCGGUGGAAGAAAUGUUUUUUCGCUUCGGGAGGGGCUCGCGGUCCAUCAGCUUGUUGGCGGGGUAACGGCCCACCAAGGCAACGACGGAUAGCUGGUCUGAGAGGACGAUCAGCCACACUGGAACUGAGACACGGUCCAGACUCCUACGGGAGGCAGCAGUAGGGAAUCUUGCGCAAUGGGCGAAAGCCUGACGCAGCAACGCCGCGUGAGGGACGAAGGCUUUCUGAGUUGUAAACCUCUUUCGACAGGAACGAUUGUGACGGUACCUGUAGAAGAAGCACCGGCCAACUAUGUGCCAGCAGCCGCGGUGAUACAUAGGGUGCAAGCGUUAUUCGGAUUUAUUGGGCGUAAAGAGCUCGUAGGCGGUUCGAUAAGUCGGGUGUUAAACCCCCAGGCUCAACCUGGGGCCGCCACCCGAAACUGUCGUGACUAGAGUUUGGUAGGGGAUCACGGAAUUCCUGGUGUAGCGGUGGAAUGCGCAGAUAUCAGGAGGAACACCAGUAGCGAAAGCGUGAUCUGGGCCAAUACUGACGCUGAGGAGCGAAAGCGUGGGGAGCGAACAGGAUUAGAUACCCUGGUAGUCCACGCCGUAAACGGUGGGCACUAGUGUGGGGACUUUUCAACGGUUUCCGCGCCGCAGCUAACGCAUUAAGUGCCCCGCCUGGGGAGUACGGCCGCAAGGCUAAAACUCAAAGAAAUGACGGGGGCCCGCACAAGCAGCGGAGCAUGUGGCUUAAUUCGAUGCAACGCGAAAAACCUUACCUAGAUUUGACAUGCUGGGAAAAGCCGUAGAGAUACGGUGUCCUUCGGGGCCCAGCACAGGUGGUGCAUGGCUGUCGUCAGCUCGUGUCGUGAGAUGUUGGGUUAAGUCCCGCAACGAGCGCAACCCUUGUUCUAUGUUGCCAGCACGUAAUGGUGGGGACUCGUAGAAGACUGCCGGGGUUAACUCGGAGGAAGGCGGGGACGAGGUCAAGUCAUCAUGCCCCUUACGUCUAGGGCUGCACACAUGCUACAAUGGGCGGUACAGAGGGCUGCUAAACCGCGAGGUGGAGCCAAUCCCUAAAACCGCUCUCAGUUCAGAUUGCAGGCUGCAACUCGCCUGCAUGAAGUUGGAGUUGCUAGUAAUCCCGGAUCAGCAUUGCCGGGGUGAAUACGUUCCCGGGCCUUGUACACACCGCCCGUCAAACCACGAAAGUCGGCAACACCCGAAGCCGGUGGCCUAACCGCAAGGAAGGAGCCGUCGAAGGUGGGGUCGGUGAUUGGGGUUAAGUCGUAACAAGGUAGCCGUACCGGAAGGUGCGGCUGGAUCACCUCCUUUCU
This 1512-nucleotide ribosomal RNA is filed under the name uncultured bacterium. RNAcentral describes it as "bacterial SSU rRNA". It matches the Rfam family "Bacterial small subunit ribosomal RNA". The record is from RNAcentral.